This 535-nucleotide ribosomal RNA is filed under the name uncultured archaeon. RNAcentral's name for it is "bacterial SSU rRNA". It matches the Rfam family "Archaeal small subunit ribosomal RNA", at positions 340 to 879 of the family's 1478-position model. The record is from RNAcentral.
CGCGAAAACUUUGCAAUGCGGGAAACCGUGACAAGGGAACUCUGAGUGCCCGUUAAAUCGGGCUGUCCAUCGGUUUAAAUAACCGGUGAAGAAAGGGCCGGGCAAGACCGGUGCCAGCCGCCGCGGUAAUACCGGCGGCUCGAGUGGUGGCUACUAUUACUGGGCUUAAAGCGUUCGUAGCUGGUUUGUUAAGUCUCUGGGGAAAUCUUCCGGCUUAACCGGAAGGCGUCUCAGGGAUACUGGCAGACUAGGGACCGGGAGAGGUGAGAGGUACUCCAGGGGUAGGAGUGAAAUCCUGUAAUCCUUGGGGGACCACCUGUGGCGAAGGCGUCUCACCAGAACGGCUCCGACAGUGAGGGACGAAAGCUGGGGGAGCAAACCGGAUUAGAUACCCGGGUAGUCCCAGCUGUAAACGAUGCGCGUUAGGUGUAUCGGUGACCACGAGUCACCGAGGUGCCGAAGAGAAAUCGUGAAACGUGCCGCCUGGGAAGUACGGUCGCAAGGCUGAAACUUAAAGGAAUUGGCGGGGGAGCAC